UGUUAUUGAGUCAACGUGUUAGCUACAUUCAAGAUGGCGGACAUUUGGUUUGUUGUUUGGUGUUUUUUGCCUUUCAUAUCUUAUUCCAUUCAAGGAGAAGCCCCAACAUUAACGGGUAUAAACUUUGAACAUAAAGUAUUUAGAAGUCCUCAUUUUGUGAUGUUCUACGGGCCAUGGUGUGAACACUGUAAGAACAUGAUGUCGGCAUGGAAUGAUUUAUCCGAUCAAUAUGCAAAGCGAGAUAAGCUACAUGCAAUUAACAUUGUUAAGGUUGAUUGUACAGCUGAUACUCCUUUAUGUGCUAAGCAAAACAUCAAAGCAUAUCCAACCCUGCGACUGUAUCAUGAAGGAUUCACCAAGAGAUAUAACGGGAAGAGAAGUGUUGCUGAAUUCAUGAAAUUUGUCAACCAGCUGGUAUUUAAAGAGGUUGUCAAUAAAGAUUCAGUCACUGUUGUCAACAAUGUCAAAGUUUUGACCAAGAAGAAUUUUGAUGAGCAAACAGAAAUAGGACUACACUUUGUUAAAUUCUAUGCUCCAUGGUGUAUCCACUGCAUCAAGCUUGCACCUAUCUGGGAGUCCCUGGCAACCAAAUACAAAGACUCGCCUGAUAUAUCGAUUGCAAAGAUAGAUUGUACAGCAGAAGGAGCAAAGUGCAGUCAGCAUAAUGUGAAAGCAUUCCCAACACUCAAGCUCUUUAAAGAUGGAAAAGAGAUAAACCAAUACACGGGUGGACGGGCAUUAAAAGAGCUGGAGACAUUUGUGAUGUCACAGAUAGCUUUCAAUAUCAGGCCAGCUACAACUGACAGCACACAGUCGACUAUUGAACAUGUAGACCACUCAGCCAAUGAAGAACCACCACCACCUGCUACGGAAGACAGUGAAGAAGAUAUGAUUAAACCUUAUCAGCUGAAUGAAAANAACUUUGACUCCUUGGUUUCCUUUGGUACCACAUUUGUCAAGUUCUAUGCACCUUGGUGUAGACAUUGUAAGAUUCUUGCUCCAACCUGGGAACAACUGGCCAAGAAAUGUGCUGAAACAGCUGCAGGACCAAAGAUUGCCAGGGUGGACUGCACUGCUGAAGAAAAACUCUGUCAAACCUUUGGGGUAAGUCAGAUUCUGAUCAUGAGCUAAGGGACAUAUGGUUAUGGUCUAGCUCAUAAAAUAAAAAAUGAAAUGGGAAUCAACAGUAGCAUUUCUACAGAUUAGCUCUUCAUCCACUAAAAUUCAAAUUGAUUUUUGCAGAGGGAGGAAAACCAGAGUACCCAGAGAAAAAACCUUGAAGCACAGGAGAGAAUCCUGACAAGCAAUUCUACUCACAUAUGGCACCAAGUUUGGGAAUCCGACCCAGGUUGCCUUGAUUAACGGUUACCCCACCCUCACUCUCUUCAAAGAUGGUCAACCAAAACAAGAAUACAAUGGCAACAGAGACUUGGAAAGUUUGUAUAGGUUUGUGAUGCAACACCAUGACAAAGAAGAAUU
RNAcentral lists this unclassified non-coding RNA (1479 nucleotides) under Actinia tenebrosa (Australian red waratah sea anemone). RNAcentral's name for it is "thioredoxin domain-containing protein 5-like, transcript variant X1". Lineage: Eukaryota; Metazoa; Cnidaria; Anthozoa; Actiniaria; Actiniidae. The record is from RNAcentral.